UUCCGGUUGAUCCUGCCGGAGGCUACUGCUAUUGGGAUUCGACUAAGCCAUGCGAGUCAAGGUGUCUUCGGACGCCGGCAUACGGCUCAGUAACACGUAGGUAACCUACCCUCAGGACUGAGAUAACCCCGGGAAACUGGGGCUAAUAUUAGAUAGAUAAAAGAUACUGGAAUGUUCUUUUAUCCAAAGCUUUUGCGCCUGAGGAUGGGCCUGCGUCCGAUUAGGUUGUUGGUGGGGUAAUGGCCCACCAAGCCUACGAUCGGUACGGGCAGUGGGAGCUGAAGCCCGGAGUUGGGGACUGAGACAAGGCCCCAGGCCCUACGGGGCGCAGCAGGCGCGAAACCUCUGCAAUGCGGGAAACCGUGACAGGGGGAUCCCAAGUGCUCAUGCAUUGCAUGGGCUGUUCUUUGGUCUAAGUAACCAGAGGAGUAAGGGCUGGGCAAGACCGGUGCCAGCCGCCGCGGUAAUACCGGCAGCUCAAGUGGUAGCCGCGAUUAUUGGGCCUAAAACGUUCGUAGCCGGAUAAGUAAGUCUUUGGUUAAAUCCUGCGACUUAACCGUGGGAAAUCUAGAGAUACUGCUUGUCUUGAGACCGGGAGAGGUUGGAGGUACUCCUAGGGUAGGGGUGAAAUCCUGUAAUCCUAGGGGGACCACCUGUGGCGAAGGCGUCCAACUGGAACGGGUCUGACGGUGAGGGACGAAACCUAGGGGAGCGAGCCGGAUUAGAUACCCGGGUAGUCCUAGGCGUAAAUGAUGCGAGUUAAGUGUGGGGGCAUCUACGAGAUGGCCCUGUGCUGUAGGGUAGCCGUUAAACUCGCUGCCUGGGGAGUACGGUCGCAAGGCUGAAACUUAAAGGAAUUGGCGGGGGAGCACCACAAGAGGUGGAGGCUGCGGUUCAAUUGGAGUCAACGCCGGA
This 915-nucleotide ribosomal RNA is filed under the name uncultured archaeon. Its description in RNAcentral is "bacterial SSU rRNA". It matches the Rfam family "Archaeal small subunit ribosomal RNA", at positions 1 to 922 of the family's 1478-position model. The record is from RNAcentral.